This 25-nucleotide non-coding RNA is filed under the name Mus musculus (house mouse). Lineage: Eukaryota; Metazoa; Chordata; Mammalia; Rodentia; Muridae. The record is from RNAcentral.
UCCCUUUGGAGUAGCUGCAGCUCAG